AUACGGAGGGUGCAAGCGUUACACGGAAUCACUGGGCGUAAAGCGCGCGCAGGCGGCUAUUUAAGUUGGAUGUGAAAGCCUAUGGCUCAACCAUAGAACUGCAUCCAAAACUAUUUAGCUAGAGUGUGGGAGAGGAAGAUGGAAUUAGUUGUGUAGGGGUAAAAUCCGUAGAGAUAACUAGGAAUACCAAAAGCGAAGGCAAUCUUCUGGAACACUACUGACGCUGAGGCGCGAAAGCGUGGGGAGCAAACGGGAUUAGAAACCCCAGUAGUCC
This 274-nucleotide ribosomal RNA is filed under the name uncultured bacterium. RNAcentral describes it as "partial 16S ribosomal RNA". It matches the Rfam family "Bacterial small subunit ribosomal RNA", at positions 523 to 796 of the family's 1533-position model. The record is from RNAcentral.